This 393-nucleotide ribosomal RNA is filed under the name uncultured bacterium. RNAcentral's name for it is "partial 16S ribosomal RNA". It matches the Rfam family "Bacterial small subunit ribosomal RNA", at positions 523 to 918 of the family's 1533-position model. The record is from RNAcentral.
AUACGGAGGAUGCGAGCGUUAUCCGGAUUUAUUGGGUUUAAAGGGUGCGUAGGCUGUGCGUUAAGUCAGGGGUGAAAUGCCGUCGCUCAUCGACGGAGCUGCCCUUGAUACUGGCGUGCUGGAGUACGGAUGCCGUUGGAGGAAUGAGUGGUGUAGCGGUGAAAUGCUUAGAUAUCACUCAGAACACCGAUUGCGAAGGCAUCUGACGAAUCCGUCACUGACGCUGAGGCACGAAAGCGUGGGGAUAGAACAGGAUUAGAUACCCUGGUAUUCCACGCCGUAAACGAUGAUGGCUAACCGUCGGCGAUAGACAGCCGGUGGCCAAGCGAAAGCGAUAAGUCAUCCACCUGGGGAGUACGUCGGCAACGAUGAAACUCAAAUGAAUUGACGGGG